GAUGAACGCUGGCGGCGUGCCUAAUACAUGCAAGUCGAGCGAACAGACGAGGAGCUUGCUCCUCUGACGUUAGCGGCGGACGGGUGAGUAACACGUGGAUAACCUACCUAUAAGACUGGGAUAACUUCGGGAAACCGGAGCUAAUACCGGAUAAUAUAUUGAACCGCAUGGUUCAAUAGUGAAAGACGGUUUUGCUGUCACUUAUAGAUGGAUCCGCGCCGCAUUAGCUAGUUGGUAAGGUAACGGCUUACCAAGGCAACGAUGCGUAGCCGACCUGAGAGGGUGAUCGGCCACACAGGAACUGAGACACGGUCCAGACUCCUACGGGAGGCAGCAGUAGGGAAUCUUCCGCAAUGGGCGAAAGCCUGACGGAGCAAAGCCGCGUGAGUGAUGAAGGUCUUCGGAUCGUAAAACUCUGUUAUUAGGGAAGAAAAAAUGUGUAAGUAAAUAUGCACGUCUUGACGGUACCUAAUCAGAAAGCCACGGCUAACUACGUGC
RNAcentral lists this ribosomal RNA (498 nucleotides) under uncultured bacterium. RNAcentral's name for it is "partial 16S ribosomal RNA". It matches the Rfam family "Bacterial small subunit ribosomal RNA", at positions 28 to 508 of the family's 1533-position model. The record is from RNAcentral.